This 211-nucleotide unclassified non-coding RNA is filed under the name Hevea brasiliensis (rubber tree). The record is from RNAcentral. Lineage: Eukaryota; Viridiplantae; Streptophyta; Magnoliopsida; Malpighiales; Euphorbiaceae.
ACAAGAAAUUAAAAAGAAAAAAAAGGGAGAAAGAAGGUAAAUAGUAGCAGAAGUAGGACUCUACAAGGGCAGCAGAUCUCCCAUUCAUUCAGAUGAGUUCGAUUGAUUUUUCACCAUUGAUUUUUGAAUAUUUUUAAGUACUAUAUUUGUAAAAGUUAUGGUUAAAAUUUAAGAAUUUUUCAAUGGUUGGUUUAGAGAAAUAAAUUGUUGA